AAAUCAGUUAAGAGCACUGCGUAAACAAUGGAUUUAGUUUUAACGACGUUUGCUUACUUCCC
Molecule: small RNA, 62 nt
Filed under: Drosophila erecta
Lineage: Eukaryota; Metazoa; Arthropoda; Insecta; Diptera; Drosophilidae
Description: GG27047
Source: RNAcentral